AACAAUUUAAUCAAUUUUCAGUCGGUGGCUUUUUUCGAUUGAGUCUGUUUCGUAAAAUUUUUAUUUUUACGCCUUUUUUAAUUUUUCAAAACAAAAUGUAUUAUUUUCGUGAAACAUCAACAAUGUGCAGAAAAAGCAAACUUAGUAGAAUGACCAAAGCGUAUUCUUAAGUGCGGCGCUGUAUCCGUACAGAAAAAAAAAAACUUCUAGAAUAAUUAUUAUCCGGAUUACACAGAAGAACCA
This is a long non-coding RNA of Chrysoperla carnea, 243 nucleotides long. RefSeq lists it as uncharacterized. The transcript has 2 exons. NCBI's taxonomy places the organism in Eukaryota, Metazoa, Arthropoda, Insecta, Neuroptera, Chrysopidae. The record is from RefSeq and is a predicted model, not a curated record.